This 1274-nucleotide long non-coding RNA is filed under the name Gossypium raimondii (Peruvian cotton). RNAcentral describes it as "long non-coding RNA (GRAI_LNC002969)". The record is from RNAcentral. Lineage: Eukaryota; Viridiplantae; Streptophyta; Magnoliopsida; Malvales; Malvaceae.
CUGGCUCUGCCUCUUGCAAUAAAUACAAAAAGUAGCUUUUUAGCAGUUUUGGGCGGGGGACCUCUUCUUUUUGCCCUUUCAUGGUCACUCCCUUCUAUUUCUUCUUGCUCAAAAGAAUGGGCGGAUUUAUAACAAUAUUUGCACCUCAUGCAAAAACACAUCCAUGAAAUUUUAGUAUAAUAAAUUUGGUGGCAAACAAAAAUAAUAACUCGAGUUGCAUAAGAAGAAGGGAGAGAGGAAGGCAUGGCAAUGCCCUCCCAAUUAACUGUAAAAACAACUAUUACAAUAAAAUUAGAUAUUAAAAUAAUAUUAUAGCCUAAACACAUCGCAACCCAUUCAAAGUGUCGUUAGACCGGAACUCAAACUUGCUCUAUAUCUAAAAGUAAAAUCCUAAGCUUUAGCUUUACUGUCCUCCACAGCUAUAAAUACCACCAACCUCACCCUAGGGUCUCACCAUAUAAUAUCUGGGUUUCUUCUUCCUCCCCACCAAAAUUCUUGUUCAACCCAAGAUUUCUUCAUUUCCUUAACCAAAUAACCCUACUUUAUUUUUCUUUUGUUAUCUACUAUUUCACUUUCUUUUCUUUUGUUUAUACAAGGAAAAAGGGUCAGUUUUUUUAGCGCCCCUGUUUUUCUUCAAUUUUACUCUUAUACUCUUUGUUUCCUCUGUUUUGAUUCAAAUCAAGAAUUAAAAAAAUGCAAGAAAUCAAUCAUCCUCUUGGAUUCAAUGAUAUUGUUAAUAUUGGAUCUUCACUGUCACAGUUGAUAUUGUCAGGAGGCUCAAAUACCUUAGAUUCAAUCUUCUCUCAUUGCGCACCGUCAACGACGACAACUUCAACCGCCAUCACCACCAACUGUAUUUACGAGCCAAUAGGCUCUUCAGUCUAUCUCCGCCAGAGAGAGCUCCUUCAAAAGUUCAGCCAAGAGAACAACGGAAACGCUUCGUUUUCGUGCAACUCGCUAAUGAACCGGAUUCCGAGCUAUCCAAACCCCGCAUCGACGAGCAACUUCUAUUUAAGUCCUGAAAAGAAGAAGCAAUACAGGGGGGUGAGGCAGAGACACUGGGGUAAAUGGGUGGCCGAAAUCAGGCUCCCACAGAACAGAAUGCGAAUCUGGUUAGGCACAUACGAAACAGCCGAAGCCGCCGCUUAUGCGUAUGAUCGUGCGGCGUAUAAGCUUAGAGGGGAAUAUGCAAGGUUGAAUUUCGAAAACAUCAAGGAUCCGAGCAAGUUGGGUUUUGGAGAUGGUGCUCGUUUGAGUGCUCUGAAGAACUCGGU